Dioscorea cayenensis subsp. rotundata (Guinea yam) is the source of this 596-nucleotide long non-coding RNA. RefSeq lists it as uncharacterized. Lineage: Eukaryota; Viridiplantae; Streptophyta; Magnoliopsida; Dioscoreales; Dioscoreaceae. The transcript is spliced from 4 exons. The record is from RefSeq and is a predicted model, not a curated record.
UCUCUCUCUCUCUCUUUCUCUCUCAACUCUUCCAUUCAUCGCCGGAAACCUUCUCUCUCUCUCAACUCUUCCAUUCAUCACCGGAACCCUUCCAUCCAUUGCACCAUCCAUCACAAUGCUUCCAUCCAUCGCACCACACCACUAAAAUCCAAGAGCCUGUGAACAAAAGUCUCCGGAAAACUUCGUCCGGCGAGGGCAUUUCCAUCAAAAUCUAGGAUUAUCAGAGCCUUUCAAGUUGAAGAGCAAAAGAUUGUAUGAAAAUUGUAACAAGUGGCUGUUGUACUUCUUUCAAACUUGUUGUAUUUCACUUUCUUUUUCAUUACUUUGCCAGUAGUUCCAUCAAACUUAGAGAGCCUUUGACAUAUGGUUACAGAUUUGUUCAUUUUGGAUCCAUGGUCAAGUGCUUUUGCGGGGCCUCAAACUGCCAAGGUUUUUUAGGAAGCAAGAGAAAGAACAAUGAGAUAACCAUGCCCUGGGGAUGCAAACGACCAAGAACAGCAAUCAAAGUAAAAGUUUUUCAGAAAUAAAGUGUUUGGAGUAUCAAAAAUUUGAGAAUGUGGCAUUUACCUUGACACCUGCACUUGCAGUUAUAUGAU